GUGGGGAAUAUUGGACAAUGGGCGAAAGCCUGAUCCAGCCAUGCCGCGUGUGUGAAGAAGGUCUUCGGAUUGUAACGCACUUUAAGUUGGGAGGAAGGGCAGUAAGUUAAUACCUUGCUGUUUUGACGUUACCGACAGAAUAAGCACCGGCUAACUUCGUGCCAGCAGCCGCGGUAAUACGAAGGGUGCAAGCGUUAAUCGGAAUUACUGGGCGUAAAGCGCGCGUAGGUGGUUUUGUAAGUUGGAGGUGAAAUCCCCGGGCUCAACCUGGGAACUGCCUCCAAAACUGCAUGACUAGAGUACGGUAGAGGGUAGUGGAAUUUCCUGUGUAGCGGUGAAAUGCGUAGAUAUAGGAAGGAACACCAGUGGCGAAGGCGACUACCUGGACUGAUACUGACACUGAGGUGCGAAAGCGUGGGGAGCAAACAGGAUUAGAAACCCUUGUAGUCC
RNAcentral lists this ribosomal RNA (450 nucleotides) under uncultured bacterium. RNAcentral's name for it is "bacterial SSU rRNA". It matches the Rfam family "Bacterial small subunit ribosomal RNA", at positions 354 to 796 of the family's 1533-position model. The record is from RNAcentral.